RNAcentral lists this ribosomal RNA (881 nucleotides) under bacterium enrichment culture clone Pav-FEB-Bd28-C1. RNAcentral's name for it is "bacterial SSU rRNA". It matches the Rfam family "Bacterial small subunit ribosomal RNA", at positions 65 to 938 of the family's 1533-position model. The record is from RNAcentral.
AGCGGCAGGCGCAGCAAUGCGCUGAGAGCGGCGGACUGGUGAGUAACGCGUGGGUAAUCUACCUUUGGCAUGGGGAUAGCCACUAGAAAUAGUGGGUAAUACCGAAUACGUUCCUGCUGGGGAGGAUGGCAGGAAGAAAGGGUGCUACGGCACCGGCCGAAGCUGAGCUCGCGUCCCAUUAGCUAGUUGGUGAGGUAACGGCCCACCAAGGCGAUGAUGGGUAGCCGGCCUGAGAGGGUGUACGGCCACACUGGGACUGAGAUACGGCCCAGACUCCUACGGGAGGCAGCAGCUAAGAAUAUUCCGCAAUGGACGAAAGUCUGACGGAGCGACGCCGCGUGGAUGAAGAAGGCCGAAAGGUUGUAAAGUCCUUUUGCUGGGGAAGAAUAAGUGUGGGAGGGAAUGCCCGCAUGAUGACAUGAACCGGCGAAUAAGCCCCGGCCAACUACGUGCCAGCAGCCGCGGUAACACGUAGGGGGCGAGCGUUGUUCGGAAUUACUGGGCGUAAAGGGCAUGUAGGCGGUCUGGUAAGCCUGGCGUGAAAGGCCACAGCUCAACUGUGGGAUUGCGUUGGGAACUGCUGGGCUUGAGUUAUGGAGAGGGAGCUAGAAUUCCUGGUGUAGGGGUGAAAUCUGUAGAUAUCAGGAAGAAUACCGAUGGCGAAGGCAAGCUCCUGGCCGAUGACUGACGCUGAGGUGCGAAAGUGUGGGGAUCAAACAGGAUUAGAUACCCUGGUAGUCCACACUGUAAACGAUGUGCACUAGGUGCUGGGGCGGUAGCUUCAGUGCCGGAGCGAACGUGGUAAGUGCACCGCCUGGGGAGUAUGCUCGCAAGGGGUGAAACUCAAAGGAAUUGACGGGGGCCCGCACAAGCGGUGGAGC